GACGAACGCUGGCGGCGUGCUUAACACAUGCAAGUCGAACGGAAAGGCCCUGCUUUUGUGGGGUGCUCGAGUGGCGAACGGGUGAGUAACACGUGAGUAACCUGCCCUUGACUUUGGGAUAACUUCAGGAAACUGGGGCUCAUACCGGAUAGGAGCUCCUGCUGCAUGGUGGGGGUUGGAAAGUUUCGGCGGUUGGGGAUGGACUCGCGGCUUAUCAGCUUGUUGGUGGGGUAGUGGCUUACCAAGGCUUUGACGGGUAGCCGGCCUGAGAGGGUGACCGGCCACAUUGGGACUAGGAUACGGCCCGGACUCCUACGGGAGGCAGAGGUGGGGAAUAUUGCACGAUGGGCGGCAGCCUGAAGCAGCAUCGCCGCGUGCGGGAUGACGGCCUUCAGGUUGUAAACCGCUUUCGCCUGUGACGAAGAGUGAGUGACGGUAAUGGGUAAAGAAGCACCGGCUAACUACGUG
This 468-nucleotide ribosomal RNA is filed under the name uncultured bacterium. RNAcentral describes it as "partial 16S ribosomal RNA". It matches the Rfam family "Bacterial small subunit ribosomal RNA", at positions 28 to 507 of the family's 1533-position model. The record is from RNAcentral.